AGGGUGCGAGCGUUAAUCGGAAUUACUGGGCGUAAAGCGCAUGCAGGUGGUUUGUUAAGUCAGAUGUGAAAGCCCGGGGCUCAACCUCGGAAUUGCAUUUGAAACUGGCAGACUAGAGUACUGUAGAGGGGGUAGAAUUUCAGGUGUAGCGGUGAAAAUGCGUAGAGAUCUGAAGGAAUACCGGUGGCGAAGGCGGCCCCCUGGACAGAUACUGACACUCAGAUGCGAAAAGCGUCGGGGAGCAAACAGGAUUAGAUACCCUGGUAG
RNAcentral lists this ribosomal RNA (267 nucleotides) under uncultured bacterium. RNAcentral describes it as "partial 16S ribosomal RNA". It matches the Rfam family "Bacterial small subunit ribosomal RNA", at positions 529 to 793 of the family's 1533-position model. The record is from RNAcentral.